ACCUCAUAGACCCAGCUGGCCCUUCCUAGUGAUCGUUUCAGCAGAGCCGCCAGCAGGGUGAGCGCUGGGGACCGGGCAGAGGCAAAUGUCACAGAAUGUGAGUGCCACCGCCACCAAGUGACACCACACAGCCCUGGACGAGCUGAGCUGCCAGUGAUGAGUGGCCAGGCCAGCGAAACUGCUUCUUCCCCAGAGCAGCUGCAGAUUCCAGGUGGUUUCAGGAGGCUUGCACCCCUCCGCCUUAUGAGCCUGGGGUCUCCCACUUUCUGGCUGAGUGACGCUGGGAGCUCCAGGGGCAUUUCAUGUGGAGGAGAUGGACUCUGAAGUCGGAGACCUGCCGGUCCCACGCCAGCCACAAACUGGGCGGACGACCUCGAGCAAGUCAUUUCCAUCUCCUUCUCCCUCCGUUUCCUGCAACACUGACAAAAGCCAGAAAUACUUGAAGGGCCGGACCUCUGGGGCCAGGGACUCUUUUGAGUGAGUUAAUGUAUGAGAGCCCCCGGGGAAGAAUAAAGCACUGAUCUCAUAACAGCAA
Budorcas taxicolor (takin) is the source of this 535-nucleotide long non-coding RNA. RefSeq lists it as uncharacterized. The transcript is spliced from 2 exons. Lineage: Eukaryota; Metazoa; Chordata; Mammalia; Artiodactyla; Bovidae. The record is from RefSeq and is a predicted model, not a curated record.